CAUGCAAGUCGAACGAAGCACUUUAUUUGACUUCCUUCGGGACUGAUUAUUUUGUGACUGAGUGGCGGACGGGUGAGUAACGCGUGGGUAACCUGCCUUGUACAGGGGGAUAACAGUUGGAAACGGCUGCUAAUACCGCAUAAGCGCACAGCAUCGCAUGGUGCAGUGUGAAAAACUCCGGUGGUAUAAGAUGGACCCGCGUUGGAUUAGCUAGUUGGUGAGGUAACGGCCCACCAAGGCGACGAUCCAUAGCCGACCUGAGAGGGUGACCGGCCACAUUGGGACUGAGACACGGCCCAAACUCCUACGGGAGGCAGCAGUGGGGAAUAUUGCACAAUGGGCGAAAGCCUGAUGCAGCGACGCCGCGUGAGCGAAGAAGUAUUUCGGUAUGUAAAGCUCUAUCAGCAGGGAAGAUAAUGACGGUACCUGACUAAGAAGCACCGGCUAAAUACGUGCCAGCAGCCGCGGUAAUACGUAUGGUGCAAGCGUUAUCCGGAUUUACUGGGUGUAAAGGGAGCGCAGGCGGUGCGGCAAGUCUGAUGUGAAAGCCCGGGGCUCAACCCCGGUACUGCAUUGGAAACUGUCGUACUAGAGUGUCGGAGGGGUAAGCGGAAUUCCUAGUGUAGCGGUGAAAUGCGUAGAUAUUAGGAGGAACACCAGUGGCGAAGGCGGCUUACUGGACGAUAACUGACGCUGAGGCUCGAAAGCGUGGGGAGCAAACAGGAUUAGA
This 730-nucleotide ribosomal RNA is filed under the name uncultured bacterium. RNAcentral's name for it is "bacterial SSU rRNA". It matches the Rfam family "Bacterial small subunit ribosomal RNA", at positions 54 to 782 of the family's 1533-position model. The record is from RNAcentral.